This 180-nucleotide unclassified non-coding RNA is filed under the name Sphaerostilbella appalachiensis. RNAcentral describes it as "partial internal transcribed spacer 2". The record is from RNAcentral. RNAcentral also lists the same sequence under 2 other names. Lineage: Eukaryota; Fungi; Ascomycota; Sordariomycetes; Hypocreales; Hypocreaceae.
CAACCCUCGAGCCCCUCCGGGGGAUCGGUGUUGGGGACCGGCACCCCGCUGUACGCAGCGGUCGCCGCCCCCGAAAUACAGUGGCGGCCUCGCCGCAGCCUCCUAUGCGCAGUAGCUUGCAAAACUCGCAUCCUGGAGCGCGGUGCGGCCACAGCCGUUAAACCCCCCAAUAUUUCAAAU